Molecule: long non-coding RNA, 441 nt
Organism: Rhododendron vialii
Lineage: Eukaryota; Viridiplantae; Streptophyta; Magnoliopsida; Ericales; Ericaceae
Exons: 2
Source: RefSeq, a predicted model, not a curated record
GCAAGACUAGGGGUCAAUGCUGGUGUAGUUUGUGCUGCCAAAGCAACAGUCAAUGCUGGUGUAGUCAAUGCAAGAGCAGACACCUCAACUGCCCAACCUGCUGUAUAAGAGAGACAUUCAAUGCCCCAUGCAAGGAUUCCAAAAUUGAUUAUCAAAAGAAGUGGAAGUGGUACUCAAGGAAAGUGAAGUGACUGAAGUUCUUCACAGGGCUCUUUUGUGAACUGAAUUUGCUAUAAUGACUUUUUUUUGUAGCUCUCUAUUUUUUGUUGCCCUCUGUUUUGGGUUGCUUAUCAAAGGUUGUAAUAUGUAGGGCCCUACUAUGUAGGAACAAACUAACUUAUUUUGGUGAACUGAAUUUGUGGUCUGAGUAUUGAUUAACAAACCUGUGGGGGUAACUAGACUUAAUGUAAUGCUUGGUCCUUCAAUGCUUGAACUAUUUUC